UUUCACCACAUAGGGUGUGGUGUGACAUUUGCAUCAAACAAUAAUUUGUCAUCAAGGAAUGUCCCCAAGUGCUUGUGUUGUUGCAUAUGCAGCAGGCUCACGCCAACAACCUGUUGUACAGUGUACAACUGAGGUAUGCAGGUGUUUGUUCUUCCUGACAGAAUUUUAAAAAAGUCCUGGGAAUCGGAACUGUAAUGUCUGGGUCAGGUCGCUCUACGGCAGAGAGCAUUGCUUAUGAGGACACGUCUAUAACCACGGCCAGCCCUGCCAAAAUAGCAAAAGACGAGUCGGAAACAGGGCUUUUGCACUGUGUCUUGCCUCCUUUAAUGCAGUGCUUUAAAAAGGUAGAGAUGAAUAUCAUAAAGUUGUCUGUUUUUCACCAGAAAAACAGACAUCUUUCGCUCAAGCCUGCAAAAACAUCACGCCAGUGAAGCUGAGGAACGUGAAGCGAAGCAUUAGCUUCUCGGAUCCUGUAGUGUUUGACAUCCUAUGUGUGGUGGAGGGUGUGUACUGGUUCAAGGGUGGGGGUUGGCCGUCGCCACGGAGUGUCGGUCAGAACACAGGGAAACAGGGCACAUCUGAUCCUUUAAACUCGUUUAAUGGGUAUUGGCAUAGUCUUGACCACUUUGCAGGUUUGGAGGUAUUUGUGGGUAUGUGUAUGGUCUGAACAAAAGGCAGAUAUACAUAAUAUUAGUUAUACAGCAUUAUACAAUUAUAACUUUGUCACUAUACAGACACAUAACACUGGGCAAGCAACACAGCAAACUACACAGGGUUAUGAUAGGUACAAUCGUGCAAUCAGAAAUGGCAUAACUGACAUACUUCUAUACAAGACGGGGCGCAAUACAGUCACACAGCGUAAGCUUGCAUACUACACACCGAGACAUAUUUACAUUCACGUAGAGUUUAUGCGUAUUAAUCGUCUCUACGCGUUAUAAUAUUCAUUUCUCAACAUUACUGAUUAUGGUGGAUGUCUGAAAAUAUUACUCUAAGCGUAACAACAUCUAAACAAUUACGCUAACUGAAAACAACUUCGGGGGGCUAUCCCCGCUGUACUCGGUAGUAAGUGAGAAGUAACAUGGGUAACAACGACACAAGCUUACAGCACACGGUAACAGAGAACUUCGUAAGCAAUUGUACUUACUUUAAAUAAAUAAAUGUAAAUGUAAAUGUAAAGUCAUGAACGCACACAGGAAAAGGUGUAACACUUUACUAACUACACAAGGGUAACUUAAUGGCUUCUCACGAUUGCCAUUUGGUGUCCUGCUCUAACUUGUUUUCUCCCCUUUCGUCUUGCUGUUGUACGCUGUGCUCUGAUUGGCUGAUCGUCCAUAUGGCUUUACAUGGACAGGGAAGGGGCCGCCCUCAGUUAAAGGGGCCGCCCUCCUUUACACUAUGCAACAGAGCUACCAGCUUGGAGGUGGUCAAAGUUCCGUUUUUGCCAAAGGUCCCUCCCAGCAGUUCAAAACUGGACAAGGUCGGUGUCCUGGAAGCGAAAAUUCUGGUCCAGGGAACCCUGAGCAAAGUUGUCACCGUGAAUGGAACUGACUGCGAGCUCACAGAAUUCCAGAUAGGCGAUUCAACAGGACAGAUGAAACUUACUCUGUGGGACAAGCAGAUUGUUCAAGUGGGUGCUUUGAAGCCCUACAAGUUCACAAACCUAUCGACAAGAGAAAGGGAAGGACGAAUAUAUCUGUCGGGGAGUCCAUCCACUACCAGAAAUUCGUGGAAUUGAAGUGGCUGAUUGUAGUGAACUCGGUGAAGACGAGAAGCUUUCCGAAUUGUCAGGAACUGUUACCGGAAUACAGGUGAUCUGCAAACGUCGCUGUCCGAAAUGCCAGACACCGCAGGGCGAGUUCAAUGCCAAGUCAUCGGUCCACAGAUGUGAGUGCUGCAAACUGAUGCAGAAGUCAUGCUGCUACUCCACAACGUACAGAGGCACCAUGUCACUGACAAUCGACUGUACAGAUCACGCACUAUCACGAAUUCCGCAAUUAAUGCGUACGUCACCGAGUACAACAUGUGCCAUUUACUGAAUGCCGUGGAGGAUAUGGGGAGCACGUCCUUGAUGUUGCUGAGUUUAAUGUUCCUGUCAAUGAAGACAGCUUGAUUACGACUAUCAAGCAGCGUUUUGAAAAGAAAGAAUACACUUGUGCGGAGGAUGAUGGUGGUCUUGGAAACGCUGUUGAUGAAGUCUAGGUGUGAUUGCAAUUUUUGAGUGAGUUUUCAAAAGUAUGUUUAUUGCUUGUUAUAUAUUUCAGUAUGCGCAUUUAAAUUCUACAGUUGUUAUGUUUUAGCUGUUGAACUGUUUGACGUUUCCAGUGGUUCCAGUAUGAAAUACAUUCAUUUUA
This is a long non-coding RNA of Megalops cyprinoides (Indo-Pacific tarpon), 2351 nucleotides long. RefSeq lists it as uncharacterized. The record is from RefSeq and is a predicted model, not a curated record. The transcript has 3 exons. NCBI's taxonomy places the organism in Eukaryota, Metazoa, Chordata, Actinopteri, Elopiformes, Megalopidae.